RNAcentral lists this transfer RNA (77 nucleotides) under Candidatus Omnitrophus magneticus. RNAcentral describes it as "tRNA-Val". It matches the Rfam family "tRNA". Rfam says of the family: Transfer RNA (tRNA) molecules are approximately 80 nucleotides in length. Their secondary structure includes four short double-helical elements and three loops (D, anti-codon, and T loops). Further hydrogen bonds mediate the characteristic L-shaped molecular structure. tRNAs have two regions of fundamental functional importance: the anti-codon, which is responsible for specific mRNA codon recognition, and the 3' end, to which the tRNAs corresponding amino acid is attached (by aminoacyl-tRNA synthetases). tRNAs cope with the degeneracy of the genetic code in two manners: having more than one tRNA (with a specific anti-codon) for a particular amino acid; and 'wobble' base-pairing, i.e. permitting non-standard base-pairing at the 3rd anti-codon position. The record is from RNAcentral. Lineage: Bacteria; Pseudomonadati; Candidatus Omnitrophota.
GGGCGAGUAACUCAGCGGUAUAGAGUGCUUCCCUUACAAGGAAGAGGUCACAGGUUCAAAUCCUGUCUCGCCCACCA